This is a non-coding RNA of Sus scrofa (pig), 539 nucleotides long. NCBI's taxonomy places the organism in Eukaryota, Metazoa, Chordata, Mammalia, Artiodactyla, Suidae. The record is from RefSeq and is a predicted model, not a curated record.
GCUUGUGCACACGCCCGGCGGGGCUGAGGUGCCGGUGCAGGCAUUUUGCGCCGGAAAGCCGGUCUGAGGUGCUUCUGGUCGCGGCCCCCGUGAGUGAAUGACACCAGACCAAGCACAAAGGAAAAGAGAAAGAGUUGUGUUGCUGUGGGAAGGAAGCAGCGUGUUGGAAGAGGGCCUUAACGCAGCCGCCUUUCCCAAGAGUUCGGGGAGUCAUUCUGAUGAGCCAUCAGCAGGAACUGAGCUGAUGGAGGAUGGGAGAACCCUGGUAACCGUCAGGCACCACACUCGCGGCUUGGCCUGUAGGAGAUGCAGCACUUCCCUCUACUGGAAGGAGGACCUAACGACAAGGGGUCUUCGACGGGCCCCCCAGAUUGCGCAGCCACAGUACUUCAGAAGGUACUUGAUAUCAAUAUGUGGGCUCUGGAGAGUUAAUAAAAGACUAUAUCAGGCUGCAUUUGCUUUCAAGGACAGAGACCCUGGCAUAUCCCUUUAGUACCUAGCAUGUGGUGUAUAAUAAAUGCUCAAUAAAUGUAUGUUGU